AGCUGUUUUUUUUCACUUUAUCAUCUGGGUUGUGCCUAGUUUCUAGUAAAAAACACUUGGUUGUGAGUUGUGAUCGUUGAACAGUGGUUAAUCAAGGUGUUGUUUUCUUCGAUUUUCGUUUUUUUCCUGCUAAUUUGGGGAUAAGCGUUCUUCAUUCAGCUGUUUUUUCCGUUCUAUCAUUUGGGUUUAGUAGAUUUGAGCUGUGAUUGUUGAGAAGUGGUGAAUGCAAUGGUGGAUACAAG
Molecule: unclassified non-coding RNA, 242 nt
Filed under: Hevea brasiliensis (rubber tree)
Lineage: Eukaryota; Viridiplantae; Streptophyta; Magnoliopsida; Malpighiales; Euphorbiaceae
Source: RNAcentral